GACGAACGCUGGCGGCGUGCUUAACACAUGCAAGUCGAACGCUGAAGCUCAGCUUGCUGGGUGGAUGAGUGGCGAACGGGUGAGUAACACGUGAGUAACCUGCCCUCUUCUUUGGGAUAACGCCCGGAAACGGGUGCUAAUACUGGAUAUUCACUGAUUCUCGCAUGGGGGUUGGUGGAAAGGUUUUUUCUGGUGGGGGAUGGGCUCGCGGCCUAUCAGCUUGUUGGUGGGGUGAUGGCCUACCAAGGCUUUGACGGGUAGCCGGCCUGGGAGGGUGACCGGGCAAAUUGGGAAUGGGAUACGGGCCAGAAUUCUACGGGAGGCAGCAGUGGGGAAUAUUGGCCAAUGGGGGAAAGCCUGAUGCAGCGACGCCGCGUGAGGGAUGGAGGCCUUCGGGUUGGAAACCUCUUUCGCUCAUGGUCAAGCCGCAGCUUUGGGUUGUGGUGAGGGUAGUGGGUAAAGAAGCGCCGGCUAACUACGUG
RNAcentral lists this ribosomal RNA (482 nucleotides) under uncultured bacterium. Its description in RNAcentral is "partial 16S ribosomal RNA". It matches the Rfam family "Bacterial small subunit ribosomal RNA", at positions 28 to 507 of the family's 1533-position model. The record is from RNAcentral.